GGGUCUGUGAGCUUAGUUCGGCAUAGCGGCGGACUCUUAAUCCGCAGGUCAAGGGUUCAAAUCCCUUCAGGCCCG
RNAcentral lists this transfer RNA (75 nucleotides) under Candidatus Moduliflexus flocculans. RNAcentral describes it as "tRNA-Lys". It matches the Rfam family "tRNA". Rfam says of the family: Transfer RNA (tRNA) molecules are approximately 80 nucleotides in length. Their secondary structure includes four short double-helical elements and three loops (D, anti-codon, and T loops). The record is from RNAcentral. Lineage: Bacteria; Candidatus Moduliflexota; Candidatus Moduliflexia; Candidatus Moduliflexales; Candidatus Moduliflexaceae.